This 209-nucleotide ribosomal RNA is filed under the name uncultured bacterium. RNAcentral describes it as "partial 16S ribosomal RNA". It matches the Rfam family "Bacterial small subunit ribosomal RNA", at positions 568 to 776 of the family's 1533-position model. The record is from RNAcentral.
CACGUAGGCGGACUUUUAAGUCAGGGGUGAAAUCCCGGGGCUCAACCCCGGAACUGCCUUUGAUACUGGAAGUCUUGAGUAUGGUAGAGGUGAGUGGAAUUCCGAGUGUAGAGGUGAAAUUCGUAGAUAUUCGGAGGAACACCAGUGGCGAAGGCGGCUCACUGGACCAUUACUGACGCUGAGGUGCGAAAGCGUGGGGAGGCAAAACA